GUUGUUGUUUAUUCUUUUUCUAUUAUACAUUAUUGUUAUUUUCAGAGUAUUCUUGUACUCCAUUAGGAUUAUAGGCUGGUACUGGUGGGGGAGUAUCAUCAUCAUCAUCACUAGCUCUAAGAAAACUGUACUGACCUAGUGAAUAUUGUAUUAAUAAUAAUAAUGUAUAUAUAAUUACUGAGUCUAUACUCAAUACUGAUCACUAUAAAGCUGAGCAUGUACUUAAGCACAUUGCCUAUCAUGUCCUCUUGUCUAUCAUGUGCUAGUUCAUUGUAUCUUACAGUAAAACAUA
Molecule: long non-coding RNA, 292 nt
Organism: Amphimedon queenslandica
Lineage: Eukaryota; Metazoa; Porifera; Demospongiae; Haplosclerida; Niphatidae
Exons: 2
Source: RefSeq, a predicted model, not a curated record